AUACGAAAGGCGCAAGCGUUGUUCGGAUUUACUGGGCGUAAAGAGAGUGUAGGUGGUUUAUUAAGUCGGAUGUGAAAUCCCGGGGCUCAACCUCGGAACUGCAUUCGAUACUGAUAGGCUAGAGUUUGGGAGGGGUAAGCGGAAUUCCGUGUGUAGCCGUGAAAUGCGUAGAUAUACGGAGGAACACCUGAGGCGAAGGCGGCUUACUGGACCAAUACUGACACUGAGACUCGAAAGCGUGGGUAGCAAACAGGAUUAGAAACCCUUGUAGUCC
Molecule: ribosomal RNA, 274 nt
Filed under: uncultured bacterium
Lineage: Bacteria
Description: partial 16S ribosomal RNA
Rfam family: Bacterial small subunit ribosomal RNA
Source: RNAcentral